This 253-nucleotide ribosomal RNA is filed under the name uncultured bacterium. RNAcentral's name for it is "partial 16S ribosomal RNA". It matches the Rfam family "Bacterial small subunit ribosomal RNA", at positions 524 to 776 of the family's 1533-position model. The record is from RNAcentral.
UACGAAGGGGGCUAGCGUUGCUCGGAAUUACUGGGCGUAAAGGGCGCGUAGGCGGCACUGUUAGUCAGGCGUGAAAGUCCUGGGCUCAACCUGGGAACUGCGCUUGAUACGGCAGAGCUAGAGGAUGGAAGAGGGUCGCGGAAUUCCCAGUGUAGAGGUGAAAUUCGUAGAUAUUGGGAAGAACACCGGUGGCGAAGGCGGCGAGCUGGUCCAUUACUGACGCUGAGGCGCGACAGCGUGGGGAGCAAACAGG